CGAUGUAGCAAUACAUUGGUGGCGACCGGCGCACGGGUAAGUAACGCGUAUGCAACCUACCUAUCAGAGGGGAAUAACCCGGCGAAAGUCGGACUAAUACCGCAUAAAACAGGGGUUCCACAUGGAAAUAUUUGUUAAAGAAUUAUCGCUGAUAGAUGGGCAUGCGUUCCAUUAGAUAGUUGGUGAGGUAACGGCUCACCAAGUCCACGAUGGAUAGGGGUUCUGAGAGGAAGGUCCCCCACACUGGUACUGAGACACGGACCAGACUCCUACGGGAGGCAGCAGUGAGGAAUAUUGGUCAAUGGGCGAGAGCCUGAACCAGCCAAGUCGCGUGAAGGAUGAAGGAUCUAUGGUUUGUAAACUUCUUUUAUAUGGGAAUAAAGUGAGGAACGUGUUCCUUUUUGUAUGUACCAUAUGAAUAAGCAUCGGCUAACUCCGUGCCAGCAGCCGCGGUAAUACGGAGGAUGCGAGCGUUAUCCGGAUUUAUUGGGUUUAAAGGGUGCGUAGGUGGUUAAUUAAGUCAGCGGUGAAAGUUUGUGGCUCAACCAUAAAAUUGCCGUUGAAACUGGUUGACUUGAGUAUAUUUGAGGUAGGCGGAAUGCGUGGUGUAGCGGUGAAAUGCAUAGAUAUCACGCAGAACUCCGAUUGCGAAGGCAGCUUACUAAACUAUAACUGACACUGAAGCACGAAAGCGUGGGGAUCAAACAGGAUUAGAUACCCUGGUAGUCCACGCAGUAAACGAUGAUUACUAGCUGUUUGCGAUACACAGUAAGCGGCACAGCGAAAGCGUUAAGUAAUCCACCUGGGGAGUACGCCGGCAACGGUGAAACUCAAAGGAAUUGACGGGGGCCCGCACAAGCGGAGGAACAUGUGGUUUAA
Molecule: ribosomal RNA, 879 nt
Filed under: uncultured bacterium
Lineage: Bacteria
Description: bacterial SSU rRNA
Rfam family: Bacterial small subunit ribosomal RNA
Source: RNAcentral